GGGUAGUUCAAGUUCAGUGGUGUUUAACUGAUCACAGCCACAUACAGUUUUCUUUCUCUAUUCCCACUGCUUGACUUGACUAGCCAAAA
RNAcentral lists this Y RNA (89 nucleotides) under Saimiri boliviensis boliviensis (Bolivian squirrel monkey). RNAcentral's name for it is "Y RNA (ENSSBOG00000004908.1)". It matches the Rfam family "Y RNA". Rfam says of the family: Y RNAs are components of the Ro ribonucleoprotein particle (Ro RNP), in association with Ro60 and La proteins. The Y RNAs and Ro60 and La proteins are well conserved, but the function of the Ro RNP is not known. Lineage: Eukaryota; Metazoa; Chordata; Mammalia; Primates; Cebidae. The record is from Rfam by way of RNAcentral.